RNAcentral lists this ribosomal RNA (630 nucleotides) under uncultured Bacteroidales bacterium. RNAcentral's name for it is "bacterial SSU rRNA". It matches the Rfam family "Bacterial small subunit ribosomal RNA", at positions 94 to 721 of the family's 1533-position model. Lineage: Bacteria; Pseudomonadati; Bacteroidota; Bacteroidia; Bacteroidales. The record is from RNAcentral.
ACCGGCGCACGGGUGAGUAACGCGUAUGCAACUUGCCUAUCAGAGGGGGAUAACCCGGCGAAAGUCGGACUAAUACCGCAUGAAGCAGGGAUCCCGCAUGGGAAUAUUUGCUAAAGAUUCAUCGCUGAUAGAUAGGCAUGCGUUCCAUUAGGCAGUUGGCGGGGUAACGGCCCACCAAACCGACGAUGGAUAGGGGUUCUGAGAGGAAGGUCCCCCACAUUGGUACUGAGACACGGACCAAACUCCUACGGGAGGCAGCAGUGAGGAAUAUUGGUCAAUGGCCGAGAGGCUGAACCAGCCAAGUCGCGUGAGGGAUGAAGGUUCUAUGGAUCGUAAACCUCUUUUAUAAGGGAAUAAAGUGCGGGACGUGUCCCGUUUUGUAUGUACCUUAUGAAUAAGGAUCGGCUAACUCCGUGCCAGCAGCCGCGGUAAUACGGAGGAUCCGAGCGUUAUCCGGAUUUAUUGGGUUUAAAGGGUGCGUAGGCGGCCUUUUAAGUCAGCGGUGAAAGUCUGUGGCUCAACCAUAGAAUUGCCGUUGAAACUGGGGGGCUUGAGUAUGUUUGAGGCAGGCGGAAUGCGUGGUGUAGCGGUGAAAUGCAUAGAUAUCACGCAGAACCCCGAUUGCGAAGG